RNAcentral lists this ribosomal RNA (469 nucleotides) under uncultured bacterium. RNAcentral's name for it is "partial 16S ribosomal RNA". It matches the Rfam family "Bacterial small subunit ribosomal RNA", at positions 28 to 507 of the family's 1533-position model. The record is from RNAcentral.
GAUGAACGUUGGCGGCGUGCUUAAUACAUGCAAGUCGAACGAACAACCCGGAGCUUGCUCUGUCGGACCAGUGCCGAACGCGUGAGUAACACGUGAGCAACCUCUCCCUAACUCACGGAGAUGCCCUGGAAACGGCGUCUAUUACUGGAUAUGUUACGUGACCGCGUGUUCUUCGUUUGUAAAGGAUUUUCGGUCGGUGAUGGGGUGGCGGCCUAUCAGCUCGUUAGGGAGGUGAUGGCUCACCAAGGCGCCGACGGGUCGCCGGCCUGAGAGGGUGACCGGCGACACGGGGAUUGAGGCAGGGAGCAGAAUGCUACGGGAGGCAGAAGUGGGGAAUAUGGCAGAAUGGGGGAGAGCCAGAUGCAGCAACGCCGCGUGAGGGAUGCCGGCCUACGGGUGGUAAACAUUUUUGAGCAGGGAAGAAGAGAAAGUGACGGUACCUGAAGAAAAAGCGACGGCUAACUACGUG